Molecule: long non-coding RNA, 363 nt
Organism: Tachysurus fulvidraco (yellow catfish)
Lineage: Eukaryota; Metazoa; Chordata; Actinopteri; Siluriformes; Bagridae
Exons: 3
Source: RefSeq, a predicted model, not a curated record
GUUUCUCAGAGGUCCAAUUUAUUCCAGUUCCACUUCCGGUGUUCCCUGUGUUUUAUUAUUUUGCUGCUUACAGUAAAGCAUCUGCAAACUAGUCUGAUUUGCUUCACACACACUUGUUGAUUCACCUGAUUCCUGUAAGGGGGAAAGGGAGUUUCUGUGUCUAAUGGCAAAUGCAAUUUCUAUGUUAUACCAAUCAUUUCCGUCAUGUUCAUCAAACAUUACUUCAUUUAAACACAAACUUUGGUUCUGUCAUGGAUGGCGCCGACUAUUUACUGCCUGUACAACAGGAAGCGUCCCAGCAGAGGGCCAGGAAAUAGCAGAAUGUCUCCAAGAACAGGGUAUGAAUGGGUAAGCAAAUCAAAA